RNAcentral lists this unclassified non-coding RNA (150 nucleotides) under uncultured fungus. RNAcentral's name for it is "sequence contains ITS1, 5.8S rRNA gene". The record is from RNAcentral. Lineage: Eukaryota; Fungi.
CCGAGUUAUACAACUCAUCAACCCUGUGAACAUACCUAAACGUUGCUUCGGCGGGAACAGACGGCCCCGUGAAACGGGCCGCCCCCGCCAGAGGACCCCUAACUCUGUUUCUAUAAUGUUUCUUCUGAGUAAAACAAGCAAAAUAAAUCA